GAUGAACGCUGGCGGCGUGCUUAACACAUGCAAGUCGAACGAAGCGCUUUACCGGAUUUCUUCGGAAUGAAAGUUUUGUGACUGAGUGGCGGACGGGUGAGUAACGCGUGGGUAACCUGCCUCAUACAGGGGGAUAACAGUUAGAAAUGACUGCUAAUACCGCAUAAGACCACAGGACCGCAUGGCCCAGUGGUAAAAACUCCGGUGGUAUGAGAUGGACCCGCGUCUGAUUAGCUAGUUGGUAAGGUAACGGCUUACCAAGGCGACGAUCAGUAGCCGACCUGAGAGGGUGACCGGCCACAUUGGGACUGAGACACGGCCCAAGCUCCUACGGGAGGCAGCAGUGGGGAAUAUUGCACAAUGGGGGAAACCCUGAUGCAGCGACGCCGCGUGAGCGAUGAAGUAUUUCGGUAUGUAAAGCUCUAUCAGCAGGGAAGAAAAUGACGGUACCUGACUAAGAAGCACCGGCUAAAUACGUGCCAGCAGCCGCGGUAAUACGUAUGGUGCAAGCGUUAUCCGGAUUUACUGGGUGUAAAGGGAGCGUAGACGGAGAGGCAAGUCUGAUGUGAAACCCGGGGCUCAACCCCGGGACUGCAUUGGAAACUGUUUUUCUAGAGUGUCGGAGAGGUAAGUGGAUUCCUAGUGUAGCGGUGAAAUGCGUAGAUAUUAGG
This 671-nucleotide ribosomal RNA is filed under the name uncultured Lachnospiraceae bacterium. RNAcentral's name for it is "bacterial SSU rRNA". It matches the Rfam family "Bacterial small subunit ribosomal RNA", at positions 28 to 701 of the family's 1533-position model. Lineage: Bacteria; Bacillati; Bacillota; Clostridia; Lachnospirales; Lachnospiraceae. The record is from RNAcentral.